RNAcentral lists this ribosomal RNA (461 nucleotides) under uncultured bacterium. Its description in RNAcentral is "partial 16S ribosomal RNA". It matches the Rfam family "Bacterial small subunit ribosomal RNA", at positions 338 to 795 of the family's 1533-position model. The record is from RNAcentral.
CCUACGGGUGGCUGCAGUGAGGAAUAUUGGUCAAUGGGCGGGAGCCUGAACCAGCCAAGUCGCGUGAGGGAAGACGGUCCUAUGGAUUGUAAACCUCUUUAGGCGGGGAGCAAUGCCGGGCACGCGUGCCCGGAGGGAGAGUACCCGCAGAAUAAGCAUCGGCUAACUCCGUGCCAGCAGCCGCGGUAAUACGGAGGGCGCGAGCGUUAAUCGGAAUUACUGGGCGUAAAGCGCGCGUAGGCGGUAUGUCAAGUCAAGGGGGAAAUCUCCGGGCUCAACGUGGGAACUGCCGUUGAAACUGGCAAACUGGAGUGUGUGGGAGGAUGGUGGAAUUCGAGGUGUAGGAGUGAAAUCCGUAGAUAUCUGGAGGAACAUCAGUGGCGAAGGCGACUAUCUGGCACAUAACUGACGCUGAGGAGCGAAAGCGUGGGUAGCAAACAGGAUUAGAUACCCUAGUAGUC